AGUGGCGAACGGGUGAGUAACACGUGGGAAAUCUGCCCUGCACUCUGGGACAAGCCUUGGAAACGAGGUCUAAUACCGGAUAUGACCUGUCCUCGCAUGGGGGUGGGUGUAAAGCUCCGGCGGUGCAGGAUGAUCCCGCGGCCUAUCAGCUUGUUGGUGGGGUAAUGGCCUACCAAGGCGACGACGGGUAGCCGGCCUGAGAGGGCGACCGGCCACACUGGGACUGAGACACGGCCCAGACUCCUACGGGAGGCAGCAGUGGGGAAUAUUGCACAAUGGGCGAAAGCCUGAUGCAGCGACGCCGCGUGAGGGAUGACGGCCUUCGGGUUGUAAACCUCUUUCAGCAGGGAAGAAGCGCAAGUGACGGUACCUGCAGAAGAAGCACCGGCUAACUACGUGCCAGCAGCCGCGGUAAUACGUAGGGUGCGAGCGUUGUCCGGAAUUAUUGGGCGUAAAGAGCUCGUAGGCGGCCUGUCGCGUCGGAUGUGAAAGCCCGGGGCUUAACCCCGGGUCUGCAUUCGAUACGGGCAGGCUAGAGUGUGGUAGGGGAGAUCGGAAUUCCUGGUGUAGCGGUGAAAUGCGCAGAUAUCAGGAGGAACACCGGUGGCGAAGGCGGAUCU
This 620-nucleotide ribosomal RNA is filed under the name Kitasatospora sp. Its description in RNAcentral is "bacterial SSU rRNA". It matches the Rfam family "Bacterial small subunit ribosomal RNA", at positions 94 to 728 of the family's 1533-position model. The record is from RNAcentral. Lineage: Bacteria; Bacillati; Actinomycetota; Actinomycetes; Kitasatosporales; Streptomycetaceae.